RNAcentral lists this unclassified non-coding RNA (272 nucleotides) under plant metagenome. RNAcentral's name for it is "partial contains small subunit ribosomal RNA, internal transcribed spacer 1, and 5.8S ribosomal RNA". The record is from RNAcentral.
UUUCCGUAGGUGAACCUGCGGAAGGAUCAUUAAUGAGUUGUCAUGGGGUUCGAUGCUCGCAGCCAUUUUUUGGAUGCAUGUGCUUGCCCUAACAAUCAUCUUCUUCCAAACACAUGUGCACAUUUUUGCGGGAGUCUUGAGUUGGUUGCCGCUCUUGGGUGAUUUUCUCACAAUCCCUUAAAUCAUUUUACGCUAUUAACAAUGUUGAACGUGCUCUGUGCUGCAAGGCCAUUAUUAUAAUACAACUUUUAACAACGGAUCUCUUGGCUCUC